Molecule: RNase P RNA, 362 nt
Filed under: Deltaproteobacteria bacterium
Lineage: Bacteria; Pseudomonadati; Myxococcota; Myxococcia
Description: RNase P RNA component class A
Rfam family: Bacterial RNase P class A
About the family: Ribonuclease P (RNase P) is a ubiquitous endoribonuclease, found in archaea, bacteria and eukarya as well as chloroplasts and mitochondria. Its best characterised activity is the generation of mature 5'-ends of tRNAs by cleaving the 5'-leader elements of precursor-tRNAs.
Source: RNAcentral
AGGGGUAGAUGGGUGGUCGCGGGGGCUUCGGCUCCUGAGGAAAGUCCGGGCAUCGCUGGGCAGGAUGGUCCUUAAUGAGGACUGGGGGCAACCCUAAGGAAAGUGCAACAGAAAAAACACCGCCCGCUUAAGCGUGGUAAGGGUGAAAUGGCGGGGUAAGAGCCCACCGGCGUCUAGGUGACUAGACGGCUUGGCAAACCCCAUCCGAUGCAAGGCCAAAAGGGAGACCGCUUUGAGCGGUAGGGAUGGCCCGUCCUAUCUCCGGGUAGGCCGCACAAGAUCCAGCCACGGAUCUUCAGAGAAAUGAUCACGGAUCGAUGUGAGUCGAUCAACAGAACCCGGCUUAUAGUCUACCCCUUCUU